CUACGUGCCAGCAGCCGCGGUAAUACGUAGGGUGCAAGCGUUAAUCGGAAUUACUGGGCGUAAAGAGUGCGCAGGCGGUUUUGCAAGACCGAUGUGAAAUCCCCGGGCUUAACCUGGGAACUGCAUUGGUGACUGCAAGGCUAGAGUGUGUCAGAGGGAGGUGGAAUUCCGCAUGUAGCAGUGAAAUGCGUAGAUAUGCGGAGGAACACCGAUGGCGAAGGCAGCCUCCUGGGAUAACACUGACGCUCAUGCACGAAAGCGUGGGGAGCAAACAGGAUUAGAUACCCUGGUAGUCCACGCCCUAAACGAUGUCUACUAGUUGUCGGGGAUUAAUUUCCUUGGUAACGCAGCUAACGCGUGAAGUAGACCGCCUGGGGAGUACGGUCGCAAGAUUAAAACUCAAAGGAAUUGACGGGGACCCGCACAAGCGGUGGAUGAUGUGGAUUAAUUCGAUGAUACGCGAGGAACCUUACCCGGGAUUGAA
Molecule: ribosomal RNA, 484 nt
Filed under: uncultured bacterium
Lineage: Bacteria
Description: bacterial SSU rRNA
Rfam family: Bacterial small subunit ribosomal RNA
Source: RNAcentral